Molecule: ribosomal RNA, 265 nt
Filed under: uncultured bacterium
Lineage: Bacteria
Description: partial 16S ribosomal RNA
Rfam family: Bacterial small subunit ribosomal RNA
Source: RNAcentral
AGCGGAGCGUGUGGUUUAAUUCGAUGGUAAGCGAAGAACCUUACCUAGGCUUGACAUGUUUGGUGGUACCGAACCGAAAGGGGAGGGACCCUUCGGGGAGCCUUACACAGGUGUUGCAUGGCCGUCGUCAGCUCGUGCCGUGAGGUGUUGGGUUAAGUCCCGCAACGAGCGCAACCCCUAUCGCCAGUUACACUCUCUGGCGAGACAGUCCUUAAACGGAAGGAAGGUGGGGACGACGUCAGGUCAUCAUGACCCUACGCCUAGG